GUGAGGAAUAUUGGACAAUGGGCGCAAGCCUGAUCCAGCCAUGCCGCGUGCAGGAAGACGCAUCUAUGGUGUGUAAACUGCUUUUGUACGGGAAGAAACACUCCCUCGUGAGGGAGCUUGACGGUACCGUAAGAAUAAGGAUCGGCUAACUCCGUACCAGCAGCCGCGGUAAUACGGAGGAUCCAAGCGUUAUCCGGAAUCAUUGGGUUUAAAGGGUCCGUAGGCGGUUUAAUAAGUCAGUGGUGAAAGCCCAUCGCUCAACGAUGGAACGGCCAUUGAUACUGUUAGACUUGAAUUACAAGGAAGUAACUAGAAUAUGUAGUGUAGCGGUGAAAUGCUUAGAUAUUACAUGGAAUACCAAUUGCGAAGGCAGGUUACUACUUGUGGAUUGACGCUGAUGGACGAAAGCGUGGGGAGCGAACAGGAUUAGAUACCCGUGUAGUCC
Molecule: ribosomal RNA, 445 nt
Filed under: uncultured bacterium
Lineage: Bacteria
Description: partial 16S ribosomal RNA
Rfam family: Bacterial small subunit ribosomal RNA
Source: RNAcentral